UCAUGUUGCGCGACGAGAACUCGAAGUGCGCCGGCUCUGCGGGGACAACCUUCACCGCUUAUUACCGGACUGAUAUAUUUAAGCGACGCUAAAUACAUAAAAUAUAUAUCUUAGACAUCUAUCGUUCUGAUCUGCACUGUCAUCUAUAGAUGUGGACAUUACGGAAUACAUAAUUAUGUAAUAUCCCCACUAUGGUACUAUACCGUAAUGUAUGCGCUACCUUUGACGGCGAGUGAAGCGGUGUGGUUGACCUCAGCGGCUGAGUUGCUCGCCACGCACGUGUACUCGCCGCUGUGCUUCGACGUCACGUGCGAGAAGAUCAGGAAACUGAACUCGUCCAGUGACUUCUCUUGGACCUUCCAUGAAGAUACGAACUACAUUCAGUAUUCAAAGGUCAAUAAAAUCUUAGAGUCUGACACUCUGAUUUAAACAAUGGAAGUUAUCGGAUAGUCCUUUUCAGUUCUUGUUGAACCUUGACACACCGAAAAAACAUUCGAGCAUUCUAACAGUUCCUUAAGUUUGACUGGGAGAGAAUACUUUUAGAAGAAUUUGUAUGAUUUUUUGCAAGCUUCUUAUAAUUAUACGAAGUAAGAUAUGAAGAGAAGAAGUAAUGUAUCAUCAUUCCUUUUUAUCCUUAAUACUAUGUUGAAAAGGGAACGUUAAACACUAAUAAAAUGGCCCAACAAAAAUGCCAGCACUAAUCUAUUUUCCGUGAACAUCUUCCGUAAUCUCCUUCCGCGACGUACGAAGCAAUAAACCGAAGGAGGAACACCGCUGCCCGUUCCUCGCCCUCCCUAAGUCGCCUCUUACGACACCCACGGGAAAGGAAGAGCUGGCCUAUUCUAGCCCGGGACUGAUACGGCGAAUUCAUGUCAUAAUAAGCGUUAAAUUGAUAUUUGUUAAGGAGAUUAUUUAUAAUAUUUUAGAGAAAUGUAUAUUGCUUACAUUUAUAUUUUUGUAUGUAAGUACUAUAAAACUAAGUAUAAAGAACUCUUUUAGAAUUAAGUACUCUUUAAGCUUGCCUUUGUACAUAUGCUUA
Molecule: long non-coding RNA, 1039 nt
Organism: Galleria mellonella (greater wax moth)
Lineage: Eukaryota; Metazoa; Arthropoda; Insecta; Lepidoptera; Pyralidae
Exons: 5
Source: RefSeq, a predicted model, not a curated record